RNAcentral lists this ribosomal RNA (253 nucleotides) under uncultured bacterium. Its description in RNAcentral is "partial 16S ribosomal RNA". It matches the Rfam family "Bacterial small subunit ribosomal RNA", at positions 524 to 776 of the family's 1533-position model. The record is from RNAcentral.
UACAGAGGGUGCGAGCGUUAAUCGGAAUUACUGGGCGUAAAGCGCGCGUAGGCGGCUUUGCAAGUCGGGUGUGAAAUCCCCGAGCUCAACUCGGGAACUGCGUCCGAUACUGGCGGGCUUGAAUCCGGGAGAGGGAUGCGGAAUUCCAGGUGUAGCGGUGAAAUGCGUAGAUAUCUGGAGGAACACCGGUGGCGAAGGCGGCAUCCUGGACCGGCAUUGACGCUGAGGCGCGAAAGCUAGGGGAGCAAACGGG